GCGGUCAUGGCGGAAUGGCAGACGCGCUGUCUUGAGGGGGCAGUGGGGGUAUCCCCGUGGAAGUUCGAGUCUUCUUGGCCGCA
RNAcentral lists this transfer RNA (83 nucleotides) under Abiotrophia defectiva. Its description in RNAcentral is "tRNA-Leu". It matches the Rfam family "tRNA". From Rfam's summary of the family: Transfer RNA (tRNA) molecules are approximately 80 nucleotides in length. Their secondary structure includes four short double-helical elements and three loops (D, anti-codon, and T loops). RNAcentral also lists the same sequence under 2 other names. Lineage: Bacteria; Bacillati; Bacillota; Bacilli; Lactobacillales; Aerococcaceae. The record is from RNAcentral.